CCGGUAGUUCAGCUGGUUAGAACGCUAGCCUGUCACGCUAGAGGUCGUGGGUUCGAACCCCAUCCG
RNAcentral lists this transfer RNA (66 nucleotides) under human gut metagenome. It matches the Rfam family "tRNA", at positions 5 to 66 of the family's 71-position model. Rfam says of the family: Transfer RNA (tRNA) molecules are approximately 80 nucleotides in length. RNAcentral also lists the same sequence under 3 other names. The record is from RNAcentral.